Molecule: ribosomal RNA, 253 nt
Filed under: uncultured bacterium
Lineage: Bacteria
Description: partial 16S ribosomal RNA
Rfam family: Bacterial small subunit ribosomal RNA
Source: RNAcentral
UACGUAGGGUGCGAGCGUUAAUCGGAAUUACUGGGCGUAAAGGGCUCGUAGGCGGCCAACUAAGUCGGAUGUGAAAUCCCCAGGCUUAACCUGGGAACUGCAUCCGAUACUGGAUGGCUUGAAUCCGGGAGAGGGAUGCAGAAUUCCAGGUGUAGCGGUGAAAUGCGUAGAUAUCUGGAGGAAUACCGGUGGCGAAGGCGGCAUCCUGGACCGGCAUUGACGCUGAUGAGCGAAAGCUAGGGGAGCAAACGGG